RNAcentral lists this ribosomal RNA (479 nucleotides) under Fusarium oxysporum f. sp. ciceris. RNAcentral's name for it is "eukaryotic LSU rRNA". The stretch from base 131 to 285 matches the Rfam family "5.8S ribosomal RNA". Lineage: Eukaryota; Fungi; Ascomycota; Sordariomycetes; Hypocreales; Nectriaceae. The record is from RNAcentral.
AACCCCUGUGAACAUACCACUUGUUGCCUCGGCGGAUCAGCCCGCUCCCGGUAAAACGGGACGGCCCGCCAGAGGACCCCUAAACUCUGUUUCUAUAUGUAACUUCUGAGUAAAACCAUAAAUAAAUCAAAACUUUCAACAACGGAUCUCUUGGUUCUGGCAUCGAUGAAGAAACGCAGCAAAAUGCGAUAAGUAAUGUGAAUUGCAGAAUUCAGUGAAUCAUCGAAUCUUUGAACGCACAUUGCGCCCGCCAGUAUUCUGGCGGGCAUGCCUGUUCGAGCGUCAUUUCAACCCUCAAGCCCUCGGGUUUGGUGUUGGGGAUCGGCGAGCCCUUUGCGGCAAGCCGGCCCCGAAAUCUAGUGGCGGUCUCGCUGCAGCUUCCAUUGCGUAGUAGUAAAACCCUCGCAACUGGUACGCGGCGCGGCCAAGCCGUUAAACCCCCAACUUCUGAAUGUUGACCUCGGAUCAGGUAGGAGAUA